RNAcentral lists this ribosomal RNA (558 nucleotides) under Triticum aestivum (bread wheat). RNAcentral's name for it is "partial small subunit ribosomal RNA". Lineage: Eukaryota; Viridiplantae; Streptophyta; Magnoliopsida; Poales; Poaceae. The record is from RNAcentral.
AUGGUUCAGUCGAACGUAAGCAUCGUCAUAUUGUUGAAGCUUUUGGCCCAUGCAUCUGUUCCGUUUCGGUUUUGGAGUGAUGCUUUCACCACUGCAUGCUUUCUCAUCAACCGUACUCCUACUCGUGUUUUAAACAUGAAGACUCCCAUUGAGGUUCUCCUUAAUGAACAACCUGAUUAUACCUUUCUCAAGGUAUUUGGGUGUGCUUGCUGGCCGCAUCUUCGUCCAUAUAACAAGCGCAAGCUUGAGUUUCGUUCUAAGAAGUGUGUUUUUCUUGGCUAUAGCUCUCUUCAUAAAGGUUACAAAUGUCUUCGUGUUCCCACUAAUCGUGUCUAUAUAUCUCGGGACGUCGUGUUUGAUGAGCAUGUUUUUCCCUUUGCCAACCUUCCUGUGUCCACUGUCGAACCACCAUCCCUGCAUUCAUCCUCUGUUGCUUCUGACCAAUUUGAUGAUGUUGCAUACUCUCCUUUGCUGUUACCUAACCAUGGUGCAGGAACCGGACGUGGAGCUCGUUUAGAGCUGUUGGAGGAUUCACCAUCAUCAUCGUCGUCUUCUGGU